CGGAGGGAUCAUUACCGAGUUUUCAACUCCCAAACCCCUGCUGAACAUACCUGUAACGUUGCUUCGGCGGGACCGCCCCGGCGCCCUCANCGGCCCGGAACCAGGCGCCCGCCGGAGGACCCAAACUCUUGCUUUAAUCAGUGGCAUUUUCUGAGUCUCACAAACAAAAUAAAUCAAAACUUUCAACAACGGAUCUCUUGGCUCUGGCAUCGAUGAAGAACGCAGCGAAAUGCGAUAAGUAAUGUGAAUUGCAGAAUUCAGUGAAUCAUCGAAUCUUUGAACGCACAUUGCGCCCGCCAGUAUUCUGGCGGGCAUGCCUGUUCGAGCGUCAUUUCAACCCUCAAGCCCCCAGGGGCUUGGUGUUGGGGACCGGCCCGCCCUCUGCGGCGGCGGCCGCCCCCGAAAUGCAGUGGCGACCUCGCCGCAGCCUCCCCUGCGUAGUAGCACAACCUCGCACCGGAGCGCGGAGACGGUCACGCCGUAAAACGCCCAACUUUCUUUAGAGUUGACCUCGGAUCAGG
RNAcentral lists this ribosomal RNA (521 nucleotides) under Beauveria sp. LA218. RNAcentral's name for it is "eukaryotic LSU rRNA". The stretch from base 178 to 331 matches the Rfam family "5.8S ribosomal RNA". Lineage: Eukaryota; Fungi; Ascomycota; Sordariomycetes; Hypocreales; Cordycipitaceae. The record is from RNAcentral.